This 281-nucleotide long non-coding RNA is filed under the name Nicotiana benthamiana. RNAcentral describes it as "long non-coding RNA (NBEN_LNC012814)". The record is from RNAcentral. Lineage: Eukaryota; Viridiplantae; Streptophyta; Magnoliopsida; Solanales; Solanaceae.
AGGAUCUCUCGGGAAUCCAACCCGUAGUCCAUCAUAUCAAUUUCUGGAGUAUCUCUCGGGAAUUGAACCCGUAGUCCGUCAUAUCAAAUUCUGGAGGAUCUCCCGAAAAUGGAACCUGUAGUCCACCAUAGCAAUAUCUGGAGAAUCUCCCAGGAAUCAAACUUGUAGUCCAUCGUACCAAUAUCUGGAGGAUCUCCCGGGAACCGAACCAGUAGUCCAUCAUACCAAUAUCUGGAGUAUCUCUCGGGUAUCGAACCCGUAGUCCAUCACACUAAUAUCUG